Molecule: ribosomal RNA, 482 nt
Filed under: uncultured bacterium
Lineage: Bacteria
Description: partial 16S ribosomal RNA
Rfam family: Bacterial small subunit ribosomal RNA
Source: RNAcentral
GACGAACGCUGGCGGCGUGCUUAACACAUGCAAGUCGAACGAUGGAGAAGAGAAACGCGAACUUCGGUUCAAAUUUCACUUCGGAUUAGUGGCAGACGGGUGAGUAACGCGUGAGCAACCUACCUCUUACAAAGGGAUAGCCUCGGGAAACCGUGAUUAAUACCAUAUGACACAUUCAUAAGGCAUCUUAAGAAUGUUAAAGCUACGGCGGUAAGAGAUGGGCUCGCGUCCCAUUAGCUAGUUGGUGAGGUAACGGCCCACCAAGGCGACGAUGGGUAACCGGCCUGAGAGGGUGAACGGUCACAUUGGAACUGAGACACGGUCCAAACUCCUACGGGAGGCAGCAGUGGGGAAUAUUGCACAAUGGAGGGAACUCUGAUGCAGCGACGCCGCGUGAGCGAUGAAGGAAUUCGUUUCGUAAAGCUCUGUUCUAUGGGAAGAAAAGGACUGUACCAUAGGAGAAAGCCCCGGCUAAAUACGUG